GGAGGGAUAGCGAAGAGGCUAAACGCGACGGACUGUAAAUCCGUUCCCUACGGGUUCGAAGGUUCGAAGGUUCGAAUCCUUCUCCCUCCA
This 90-nucleotide transfer RNA is filed under the name Sporolactobacillus nakayamae. RNAcentral describes it as "tRNA_Tyr_GTA". It matches the Rfam family "tRNA". Rfam says of the family: Transfer RNA (tRNA) molecules are approximately 80 nucleotides in length. Lineage: Bacteria; Bacillati; Bacillota; Bacilli; Caryophanales; Sporolactobacillaceae. The record is from RNAcentral.